AUCCCAAAAGCUAAAAUUAACCUAGAUUAAGUCAUUUUAACAGCAGUUGCCUUAGAAAGGCUACCUUUUGUCUAGUGUAAAAGCUCUGCUACCUUCCCUAGUGUUGUAGUAUCGAUUCCUUUGUGUAAAACAUGUUUACCAUUUAUACCAUUUAGCAUACAACCUCUGUAAGAGAAGUGGCUGCAAAAAGUUCAACCUUGCCCGACAAGGUGAAAUAUUGCAAGAGUCUCUUUGUUUGUCCUCUAAAUUAGUAGAUUUGUUGCUUAAUGCAGUUUUCAGCAUGUAUUCAAGUUAUUUCCAUCUGUUUUCUACUUAAGAGUCUUAUUUACAUCUUGAUCUGGUUAACUUAAUAGAUCUAUUUUCAUUAAGAACAACCUGGAAUCAAGGAAAUCAUUUAAAAGGGCUUUUGACUCCCUUCAUUCGAACAUAUAAGAUUAUGAAUUGAAAGUCCUUGUUCACAAGGCAAGAAAAUGAACUUAGUACAGACUUAACUCAUCUGCGACAAUCAUUUGAUAACAAGAAGUUUGAGUAACUUGGGGCGCAAGUAACCACUCAAAACACAUCUAUUUCAACAUCUGUUAUACAAAGAUAACAAUGGCACACUAAGCUUGUUGUUAGUUUUGAUUGCGAGCCUCAAGGCCUAAAUCUAAAGCCCUACAAAGGCACAUUUCAAAACUAACUUUGUACUCUUCUUGUAGCACGCCAAGCAUAUGAUGCUACUUUAAGGACAUUUCACAUGUUGAACUAAUCUAGUUUAAUAUAAAGGGAAAAAAGUAUUGUUUAAAGCCGUCUCAUAUAAAUGUUAUAUGCUUAAACGAUAAGUCCAAGGAAUAUGUAAUUGCGAGAAUGCGAUCUAAAGAAGUUAGAUUCAUGAGACCAUUCUCUUUCUUAUACAUAUCCUAAAAGUUCCUGAUCAUAGGAUUGUCAAUU
This 930-nucleotide long non-coding RNA is filed under the name Malus domestica (apple). RNAcentral's name for it is "long non-coding RNA (MDOM_LNC004329)". Lineage: Eukaryota; Viridiplantae; Streptophyta; Magnoliopsida; Rosales; Rosaceae. The record is from RNAcentral.